Molecule: ribosomal RNA, 288 nt
Filed under: uncultured bacterium
Lineage: Bacteria
Description: partial 16S ribosomal RNA
Rfam family: Bacterial small subunit ribosomal RNA
Source: RNAcentral
AACGAACGCUGGCGGCACGCCUAACACAUGCAAGUCGAACGAGAGAAGGACUUCGGUCUGGAUCUAGUGGCGAACGGGUGCGUAACACGUGGGAACCUACCCUUUAGUAAGGGACAACUCGAGGAAACUCGGGCUAAUACCUUAUACACCCUUCGGGGGAAAGAUUUAUCGCUAGAGGAUGGGCCCGCGCUAGAUUAGAUAGUUGGUGAGGUAAGAGCUCACCAAGUCUACGAUCUAUAGCUGGUCUGAGAGGAUGAUCAGCCACACUGGGACUGAGACACGGCCCAG